CAGUCGUGUUUGCUUGGACCCAGCCUUACCUCGGUUUGGUGCAUUUCCUUGUGAACGGGCCAGCGUCAAUGUUGUUCGUUGGAAAAUGAUUGGAGGAAUGUGGCUUCGACUUCGGUUGAAGUGUUAUAGACUCUGGUAGAUGUGAUGGUUGAGACCGAGGAUUGCAACGGAUGCCCUUAAGGGCUAUCCGCCUGGCCUCUGAAAGUC
This 207-nucleotide ribosomal RNA is filed under the name Glomus sp. (unid). The record is from RNAcentral. Lineage: Eukaryota; Fungi; Glomeromycota; Glomeromycetes; Glomerales; Glomeraceae.